This 124-nucleotide ribosomal RNA is filed under the name Octodon degus (degu). The record is from RNAcentral. Lineage: Eukaryota; Metazoa; Chordata; Mammalia; Rodentia; Octodontidae.
UUAGAAAGUUUGACCACUCUGAACACACCCUAUCUCGGAAGCUAAGCAGGGUCGGGCCUGGUUAAUACUUGGAUGGGAGCAAGUUUGCUGUGGACACUGCAUGUGAUGCCCACAGCAGCCUCAG